CUUUAUUUUUUCUUUGCAGGUUAUUGCAAUUUUCAGUGACAAAACAACGGAUAGAGAUAUUUGUAAUUUGCCUCCGGUAACCGGGCCAUGUCGCAGUGAUUUUAAAAGGUACUAUUGGGACAAUAAGGCGAAAGAUUGUCUGGUAUUUUCCUACGGAGGAUGCCAAGGCAAUGAGAACAAUUUCGAAAAUGAAGUUGAGUGCCGCCGAAAGUGCAGGGCUUCAUUAUUGAGAGAUGCACCAACCCCGAACUAACGUGUAAAUAAUUAAGCAGUUGUU
Molecule: long non-coding RNA, 277 nt
Organism: Hyposmocoma kahamanoa
Lineage: Eukaryota; Metazoa; Arthropoda; Insecta; Lepidoptera; Cosmopterigidae
Exons: 3
Source: RefSeq, a predicted model, not a curated record